GUGGGGAAUCUUGCGCAAUGGGCGAAAGCCUGACGCAGCCAUGCCGCGUGAAUGAUGAAGGUCUUAGGAUUGUAAAAUUCUUUCACCGGGGACGAUAAUGACGGUACCCGGAGAAGAAGCUCCGGCUAACUUCGUGCCAGCAGCCGCGGUAAUACGAAGGGGGCUAGCGUUGCUCGGAAUUACUGGGCGUAAAGGGCGCGUAGGCGGACAGCUUAGUCAGAGGUGAAAGCCCAGGGCUCAACCUUGGAAUUGCCUUUGAUACUGGCUGUCUUGAGUUUGGGAGAGGUGAGUGGAACUCCGAGUGUAGAGGUGAAAUUCGUAGAUAUUCGGAAGAACACCAGUGGCGAAGGCGACUCACUGGCCCAAUACUGACGCUGAGUCGCGAAAGCGUGGGGAGCAAACAGGAUUAGAUACCCUAGUAGUCC
This 425-nucleotide ribosomal RNA is filed under the name uncultured bacterium. RNAcentral describes it as "partial 16S ribosomal RNA". It matches the Rfam family "Bacterial small subunit ribosomal RNA", at positions 354 to 796 of the family's 1533-position model. The record is from RNAcentral.